RNAcentral lists this small nuclear RNA (95 nucleotides) under Meriones unguiculatus (Mongolian gerbil). Lineage: Eukaryota; Metazoa; Chordata; Mammalia; Rodentia; Muridae. The record is from RNAcentral.
CUGAUCACUUUGGCCACACAUACUAAAAUUUGAAUGAUGCAGAGAAGAUUAGCAUGGCCCCUGUUCAGAAUUAUUUUUUAAUUAAGCCUUUUUAU